RNAcentral lists this ribosomal RNA (1345 nucleotides) under Staphylococcus xylosus. RNAcentral's name for it is "bacterial SSU rRNA". It matches the Rfam family "Bacterial small subunit ribosomal RNA", at positions 81 to 1411 of the family's 1533-position model. The record is from RNAcentral. Lineage: Bacteria; Bacillati; Bacillota; Bacilli; Caryophanales; Staphylococcaceae.
CUCCUUUGAAGUUAGCGGCGGACGGGUGAGUAACACGUGGGUAACCUACCUAUAAGACUGGGAUAACUUCGGGAAACCGGAGCUAAUACCGGAUAACAUUUAGAACCGCAUGGUUCUAAAGUGAAAGAUGGUUUUGCUAUCACUUAUAGAUGGACCCGCGCCGUAUUAGCUAGUUGGUAAGGUAACGGCUUACCAAGGCGACGAUACGUAGCCGACCUGAGAGGGUGAUCGGCCACACUGGAACUGAGACACGGUCCAGACUCCUACGGGAGGCAGCAGUAGGGAAUCUUCCGCAAUGGGCGAAAGCCUGACGGAGCAACGCCGCGUGAGUGAUGAAGGGUUUCGGCUCGUAAAACUCUGUUAUUAGGGAAGAACAAAUGUGUAAGUAACUGUGCACAUCUUGACGGUACCUAAUCAGAAAGCCACGGCUAACUACGUGCCAGCAGCCGCGGUAAUACGUAGGUGGCAAGCGUUAUCCGGAAUUAUUGGGCGUAAAGCGCGCGUAGGCGGUUUCUUAAGUCUGAUGUGAAAGCCCACGGCUCAACCGUGGAGGGUCAUUGGAAACUGGGAAACUUGAGUGCAGAAGAGGAAAGUGGAAUUCCAUGUGUAGCGGUGAAAUGCGCAGAGAUAUGGAGGAACACCAGUGGCGAAGGCGACUUUCUGGUCUGUAACUGACGCUGAUGUGCGAAAGCGUGGGGAUCAAACAGGAUUAGAUACCCUGGUAGUCCACGCCGUAAAACGAUGAGUGCUAAGUGUUAGGGGGUUUCCGCCCCUUAGUGCUGCAGCUAACGCAUUAAGCACUCCGCCUGGGGAGUACGACCGCAAGGUUGAAACUCAAAGGAAUUGACGGGGACCCGCACAAGCGGUGGAGCAUGUGGUUUAAUUCGAAGCAACGCGAAGAACCUUACCAAAUCUUGACAUCCUUUGAAAACUCUAGAGAUAGAGCCUUCCCCUUCGGGGGACAAAGUGACAGGUGGUGCAUGGUUGUCGUCAGCUCGUGUCGUGAGAUGUUGGGUUAAGUCCCGCAACGAGCGCAACCCUUAAGCUUAGUUGCCAUCAUUAAGUUGGGCACUCUAGGUUGACUGCCGGUGACAAACCGGAGGAAGGUGGGGAUGACGUCAAAUCAUCAUGCCCCUUAUGAUUUGGGCUACACACGUGCUACAAUGGACAAUACAAAGGGCAGCUAAACCGCGAGGUCAUGCAAAUCCCAUAAAGUUGUUCUCAGUUCGGAUUGUAGUCUGCAACUCGACUACAUGAAGCUGGAAUCGCUAGUAAUCGUAGAUCAGCAUGCUACGGUGAAUACGUUCCCGGGUCUUGUACACACCGCCCGUCACACCACGAGAGU